UACAGAGGUCCCAAGCGUUGUUCGGAUUCACUGGGCGUAAAGGGUGCGCAGGCGGGUUUGCAAGUUCGAUGUGAAAGCCCCGGGCUUAACCCGGGAAUGGCAUUGGAUACUGCAGAUCUGGAGGAUCGGAGGGGGGACUGGAAUUCUUGGUGUAGCAGUGAAAUGCGUAGAUAUCAAGAGGAACACCAGUGGCGAAGGCGAGUCCCUGGACGGUACCUGACACUGAGGCACGAAAGCUAGGGGAGCAAACAGG
This 253-nucleotide ribosomal RNA is filed under the name uncultured bacterium. Its description in RNAcentral is "partial 16S ribosomal RNA". It matches the Rfam family "Bacterial small subunit ribosomal RNA", at positions 524 to 776 of the family's 1533-position model. The record is from RNAcentral.